This 554-nucleotide ribosomal RNA is filed under the name uncultured bacterium. RNAcentral's name for it is "partial 16S ribosomal RNA". It matches the Rfam family "Bacterial small subunit ribosomal RNA", at positions 355 to 900 of the family's 1533-position model. The record is from RNAcentral.
UAGGGAAUCUUCCACAAUGGACGCAAGUCUGAUGGAGCAACGCCGCGUGAGUGAAGAAGGUCUUCGGAUCGUAAAGCUCUGUUGUUGGUGAAGAAGGAUAGAGGUAGUAACUGGUCUUUAUUUGACGGUAAUCAACCAGAAAGUCACGGCUAACUACGUGCCAGCAGCCGCGGUAAUACGUAGGUGGCAAGCGUUGUCCGGAUUUAUUGGGCGUAAAGCGAGCGCAGGCGGAAUGAUAAGUCUGAUGUGAAAGCCCACGGCUCAACCGUGGAACUGCAUCGGAAACUGUCAUUCUUGAGUGCAGAAGAGGAGAGUGGAACUCCAUGUGUAGCGGUGGAAUGCGUAGAUAUAUGGAAGAACACCAGUGGCGAAGGCGGCUCUCUGGUCUGCAACUGACGCUGAGGCUCGAAAGCAUGGGUAGCGAACAGGAUUAGAUACCCUGGUAGUCCAUGCCGUAAACGAUGAGCGCUAGGUGUUGGGGACUUUCCGGUCCUCAGUGCCGCAGCAAACGCAUUAAGCGCUCCGCCUGGGGAGUACGACCGCAAGGUUGAAAC